AUUGAACGCUGGCGGCAGGCCUAACACAUGCAAGUCGAGCGGAUGAAGGGAGCUUGCUCCUGGAUUCAGCGGCGGACGGGUGAGUAAUGCCUAGGAAUCUGCCUGGUAGUGGGGGAUAACGUCCGGAAACGGGCGCUAAUACCGCAUACGUCCUGAGGGUGAAAGUGGGGGAUCUUCGGACCUCACGCUAUCAGAUGAGCCUAGGUCGGAUUAGCUAGUUGGUGGGGUAAAGGCCUACCAAGGCGACGAUCCGUAACUGGUCUGAGAGGAUGAUCAGUCACACUGGAACUGAGACACGGUCCAGACUACUACGGGAGGCAGCAGUGGGGAAUAUUGGACAAUGGGCGAAAGCAUGAUCCAGCCAUGCCGCGUGUGUGAAGAAGGUCUUCGGAUUGUAAAGAACUUUAAGUUGGGAGGAAGGGCAGUAAGUUAAUACCUUGCUGUAUUGACGGUAACAGCAGAAUAAGCACCGGCUAACUUCGUG
RNAcentral lists this ribosomal RNA (484 nucleotides) under uncultured bacterium. RNAcentral's name for it is "partial 16S ribosomal RNA". It matches the Rfam family "Bacterial small subunit ribosomal RNA", at positions 30 to 507 of the family's 1533-position model. The record is from RNAcentral.